CUGGAACAUCUGGGCCAGGCCUUCAGCAUCCUCCUUGGCGGGAAUGGCAAAGUAGACUGCCCGGGCAAGAUGACCCUCCAGUUGCACCCGAGGUCCAUCUACCAGGAAGUACCUGAGGUCCAAACACCAGAGAGGGGCCGCAGCCUCUGACCUCUCACCUCUAACCCGGGUGGGAGGAUGUAGAUGUCAGACGUUCCCAUUCGGAGUCCGGCCGGAGCCGGAAGAGAAGUUAACCUCCCACCCCUUUGGGGGCUGUGUCACGGCUGACCGCGGUCAUCAACUGCCUCACACCUCCACGCCUUCAGAAAUCACUCACCCACUGCCUGGCUCCGUCGCCAUGUCUCCCUAUUUGACCCUGCCUGACUCUGACUGACCUCUAGGCUCACCAACCGCGGCGCCAGCUUCGCCGUGACUCGGACCAAUGGCCUGAAGAGUGCGCGGUCGAUCUUUGGGGCAUAGACCAAUCGUAGCCUGGCGAUUUGUGGGCGGGUGCUGUUCCUAGGGUUACGAGGGGCUCGGCUGGCGGUGACCAAUGAAAGCCCGAAGAUACUAGCAUCCUGGCAAGCCUAAGCUCUGAGGCUGGAACUCCGGAGCCCCGCGUCUGGGGAGAAGACUCUGAAAGAGCCUGUUACUAUGGAAACUCCUCAGAGGCCGAAAAUGAAAAGGAAAAUAAAUUGCAGUGCUUUAUGGA
Long non-coding RNA from Leopardus geoffroyi (Geoffroy's cat), 691 nucleotides. RefSeq lists it as uncharacterized. The record is from RefSeq and is a predicted model, not a curated record. Lineage: Eukaryota; Metazoa; Chordata; Mammalia; Carnivora; Felidae. The transcript has 2 exons.